AGAGAUUGAUUCAAAAACUAACUUCUUAUCAUAGCUGCUUCUAGUCCAUACAAACUUGCUUCGUACUUCGCCAUGCUAUUUAUUACCUUAAAGUCUAAUCUCUUGGCCAUCGAAAAUAUCUCGCCUUUUGGUAUGAUCAGGACUGCUCCUAACCCUGCACUCUUGCAUUCACUACUCAUCGAAGUACAACCUCCAUUCUUGAAUCUUGAUUACCCCAGAUUGCUAUCAAGA
Molecule: long non-coding RNA, 231 nt
Filed under: Ricinus communis (castor bean)
Lineage: Eukaryota; Viridiplantae; Streptophyta; Magnoliopsida; Malpighiales; Euphorbiaceae
Description: long non-coding RNA (RCOM_LNC001740)
Source: RNAcentral